RNAcentral lists this long non-coding RNA (8921 nucleotides) under Gossypium barbadense (sea-island cotton). RNAcentral's name for it is "long non-coding RNA (GBAR_LNC020753)". Lineage: Eukaryota; Viridiplantae; Streptophyta; Magnoliopsida; Malvales; Malvaceae. The record is from RNAcentral.
CGGCACCCAUUGAUUUUGCACCUUCUAACAUCUCGGGUUGAGAAUUCUCGUCACACUUUUUUUUUCAUUCACAAAUUUUUUUUUGUUAUGGAUUCCUUGUCGAUUCUUCCCCUCGUUCUUUUUUUCUUGGGCUUGGCUACAUACCAAGCGUGGAUCCAUAAAAUUCCAAAAUUUUUAGAAAGUAGCUACUGUUGGCCCCAUUUAGAAUGAGAUCACAACAGAUUUGAUAGAGCCCAUCAAUUUGCUCUUUUAAGGGCUCUUCAAAAACCAAAUGAUUUUCUAUGGGUAUGUAAAUGGAUACUGAAUAUGACGACUAUUGGUGAUGCUGAUAUGUACCAUCUGAAUAUGAAUUGGAUCUUAAUGGCUGUGUGUACAUUCUGAUAUCUGUAAUUUACAUUUGCAUUGGGUGGGAAUUGUGAAAAGGAGAAAGUAAUCCGUUCUGAUUCAGUGGCUUGGCUACAAUCUAGAUGUUAAUCUGGCACUUUAGUGCAACUUGAUCUAACAGCUGGUCUGCAACUACUUGAAUAUGUCAGACCGAAACUAUAUGGUGUGCAAGGCUGGAGGGGUUUUAAACUCCCUUAUCAGUGUGUUGGGGUGAUCGAAAAUAGUGUGUAGCGGAUGUGGGUAGGAAUCACUGUAUUUAUUUCUGAUCUAUUCUAUAUCUGAAUUAGAUUUGUACUGACAUUCAAUUGAUGUGUAACAUUAUACUGGAGAGUCUCUAAUUCUGAAUAGGCUUUGACUUGGGAAUUUAUUUUUAUACUAUGCUUCUAGUUAAUUCUAUAAUGGUUAUACACUGAGUUCUCUACUCAUUUUGUUGUUGACUGAAUUUCAGGUAACUCACAAUCCUAAUCGGGUCGGCGUAUAUGCCCCUGUAUAUGCCAAAAGGGGCACUUGGGCGAUUACUAAUUCGCCAAUUGUACUUAUCAAAGACUAUGCCAAACCUAGUGCCCACCAGAAUCGGGGCAUUACAGGCUUGUUCAAAGAAUUCUCAUACUUAGCUAAAUUUUAUACUUAACACACACUCAAAACUUACUCUAUAUGCCUUACUUCCAUAAACAUCACUUGAAAAAUAAGGAUUCACUAGGUGGGAUUUUAUAAUCACCUUAACGAAGACCUCUAUGUGGCCUAAACUCAUUUGUAAGCCCACCAUUCUGUAGAAUCUGCAUAGAACUCGAGCUCACACCGAUCAACUUUAAUCGCUAACCAACCUUUAUUUCCAGAUUUAUUACGCAUAAAGUGAAUUAUCUCUUACGCUAUAAUAAUAUUAUCCGUGAUACAUCGUCUUGGGACAAAACUCGAUUGAUUAGAGAGCAUUCAAUUAGGCAUGUAAGGUUUCAGUUGGUUCACAAUCACAUUAGAAACAAUUUUAUAUAGCACUGUACACAAACUGACUGGCUGAAUUUGAUGAAUAUAUUUUGGUUUCUCUUUUUUUGGGAUAAGUACAAGCAGAGUUUUAUUGAUCCACCCUUCGAACUUGGUACCACCCAUAAUGCUUCUAACAAAGAAAAUAUACUAAAUUAUUAGUUUUAAUUCUACUAAAAUACUACUAGAAACACAUCCUAAGUUAGUAGAGUUGGAAUGGAAAGUUUCGUAGGGGUGACGAGACAUGAUGAGCAGUUUCUAACCUGAUUUAUUCUUGCGACUAGGCAUUCAUUCCUUAAUUUAGUUUUUUCCUCGUUGGUUGUAAAGUUUCCAAAUUCUUCAUAUGUUUCCCAAUCUUAUUCCAUAGGUUUUCUUCCUUGAUGUUGAGUCCAUAGAACCUUACAUUGCAAAGCUUGUGUUUUGACAACUCCUUUAGUCAUUCCUCCGAAAUAAUGUUUUACUCUUUCACCAUUGAUGAGAAAAGAUUGUCCCUCAUUUUCAAUGAGUUUUAUUGCAACUUGAGGUGUUACUUGAUUUAUAAUGUAUGGUCUUGUCCAUCUUGAUUUAAUUUUUCCAGAAAAUAAUGUUAAUCUUAAAUUGAACAAGAGUACUUUCUAUCCCAGUAAGAACUCUCAUUUUUUUAUUCUAGCAUUAGGCUAAACUUUACUCCUUUCUUUAUAUAGCUUUGCAAUUUCAUAGGCCAUAAAUCAAAAUUCUUUUAAUUCUUACAACUGGAAUAAUCUCUCUUUCUUAACCAGUUCAGGAUCUAAAUUCAAUUCAUUUAUUGCGCAAUAUGCUUUCUUUUCCACCUCAAUUAACAAAUGGCAGUUUUUCCGUACACCAACUUGUAAUGAGACAUGCCUAAAGGGUUUUUUACACUGUUCUAUAAUCCCAUAGUGCAUCAUCUAAUCUUAGCUACCAAUCUUUUCUUUUCGAAUUGAUGUUUUUUCCAAUACUUGUUAAUCUCUCGACUAGACACCUCUACUUGUCCAUUAGCCUGAAGAUGGUAUGUUGUAGUUAUUUCGUGUCUUACACUGUAAUUGGCUAAGACAAUUUUAAAUUGCUUGUUGCAGAAGUGUGAUCCUUUAUCACUUACAAGAGCACGAGGUGUUCCAGAUCUUGCAAAAAUAUUUUUUCUUAAGAAUUUGACCACUGACUUCGUAUCUUUUAUAGCUAGUGUUGUUGUCUCAACCCAUUUAAAAACGUAGUCUACAACUAACAAGAUGUACUGAUUUCUAAGGGAAAUUGGGAAAGGUCCCACAAAAUCAAUUUCCCAAAGGUCAAAUACUUCUACUUCUAGGAUUUCUGUCUGUGGCAUUUCAUCCUUUUUAGAUAUACUUCCGGUCCUUUGACAUCUAUCACACCCCUGCAUAAAUUCGCCAGCAUCUCUAUUUAUAGUUCGUCAAUAAAAUCCUGAUUGUAAUAUUUCCUAGGCUGUUCUCUUUCCUCCCAAAUUUCCACCACAUGAUGAGGUAUGGCAUUCUUGUAAGAUGUCAUUUAUCUCUUCCUCAACCACGCAUCUUCGAACUAAUUGAUUGGCGCAUUGCUAAAAAAUAUAUGAUUCUUUCCAAAUAAAUUUUUUCGACUCAUGCAUGAUUCUUUUCUUUUAUUGCCAUGAUCGUUUAUUAGAAAAAAAUCAUUUGGCAAUAUAAUUCACAUAAUCCGCGUACCAUGGUAUCUUAUUGUCCUUAUACCUUUCUUGAUGCAUUGCUACCCUGAAUAGCUACUCAUCAAUAAAGGUUUCUUUUAUUUCUUCAGAAUUUUAACUUUCGUCUCAUUUUCUAUUCUAGAAAGAUGAUCUGUAAUUAGAUUUUUCGUUUCUUUACGAUCCAGUAUGCACAGAUCAAUCUCUUGAAGCAAUAACACCCACCUCAUUAAUCUAGCCUUUAUUUCCUUUUUUUUCAUAAGAUAUUUCAAUGUAGAGUGAUCAGUGUAGACAUAAACACUAUUUGCCAUUAAAUAAGGAUGAAAUUUUUCGCAUGCAAACACAAUAGUAAGAAUUUCUUUUUCAAUAGUAGUGUAAUUACAUUAUGUUGAAUUCAAGGUCUCACUUGCAUAAUGAAUGGUGCAAAAUAUGUUGUUCCUUUUCUACUCCAGUACUACUCCUACAGCAUAAUCAUUAGCAUCGCACAUUAUAAAAAAAGGAUUCGACCAAUCAGGGGUAAUAAUAAUAGGUGCAAAAAUAAGUUUUUAUUUUAUUACCUCAAAAUCUUAGAUGCACUCUUGAUUAAAUAUGAAAGGUAUUUCCUUCUAAAGAAGUUGAUUCAACGAUUUGGAUAUGUGAUGACAGUCUUUUAUAAACUACUUAUAAAACCCAGCAUGUCCUAAGAAAUUUAGUACCCUUCGGAUCGUCGUGGGAUUAGGAAGGUUCUUUAUGACUUCAAUUUUUUCUUUGUCCACUUCCAACCGUUUUCUUGAUAUUUGAUGUCUUAAAACCAAUCCUACUUUUACCAUAAAAUAGAAUUUUUUCCUAAUUGAGCAUCAAGUUGGUUUCUUCACAUCUUUUCAAUACUUUCUCAAGGUUAUCCAAACAUUCCCGAAAGGAAUCCCAUAUACCAAAAAAUCAUCCAUGAAUACAUCGAGACCUUAUUGCAGCAUAUUGGCAAAAAUAGAAGUCAUACAUCUCAUAAAUAUUAUUAGGGCAAUACAUUCAAAUCAUAUUGAUUAUCUCAAAUAAACAUAGAGUACUUCAUAAAUGUAUAAUUAUUUCUCAAUUUUAACAAAAAAUCAUCCAAACAUAGUCAAUUCAAUUUAUGAUUAACAAAUACGUCAUUUCUCAGAUCAUAUACGGGCUUAUGUAUGCUCCAAUACCAUCCAGAAUUUAACUAGGAUUAAUUUGCAAUAUUUCCAAAAUUUUAGUUUGAUUAUAAACCAAAAUACUUCUAAGCUCAAUUUAAUCAUCAUAAAUCAAUAGUUAAUCACUAUUCAUAGAAUAUAUAUGAAAACGAAACUUAAAUCGGGUCCAUAGGACCUUAAAAAUAGUUUGGAAACAAACAAGGACUAAUCUAAAACAAAACAAAAAAAUAUGGUAAAAUUUGAAAUCAGGGGUCACACGACCGUGUGACAGAGCCCAAGCCGUGUGGGUCAGGAACAUGGUUGUGUGGCAAAACCGUGUACAAUUCAAAGUUAGGGGCACAUGGUCGUAUCUUCAGGCCAUGUAAUAGCUUGAUGUCGUGUGGGAAAACGUGCACCUAAAAAUCAAUAAGGCACACGACCAUAUGAAGAAGCCGUCUGUGGCACAUGAUUGUGUGGUAGACCGUGUCCUAGGCUGUGUGCAACCAAAAUGACUUCAAAAAUAAGUAAUUUCAAACAAAAUUUCUUAGGUAUCAAACCCAACCAUUUGCAACCAUUUCCACCUAUUCAAAAACACAUCCAUACAUAUCAAAAACAUACUAAAAACAUUCAACCUAAGUGCUUAAUCAAUGUACCAUCAUUGGUACCACAAUUCAAACAUUUAGAAUCCAAAUUAUAUACAUCAUUUCCCAAAACACAAAACAUGUAUCUAUCAAGCAUCUCAUAACCUUAAACCAUAAUAAAAACCAAACUUGGAAAUGUAUAAAUCUUACCACUUAUAUACAUAUGGUUAAAGCUUACCAAAAGAGCCAAAUAAACACAACCACAACAUCACAUAACAAAGCAUGGAACAACAUGUCUAAUAACAAGUGAAUUUGAACUCCUAGUACAUGUCACUUAUAACCUAAAUCAAAGUAAUCACAAUUUAUACCGAGUCGAUUAAGGGAUAGUGCGAGCUUCGACUUGAACUUCCAACUGAAAUAAACUUCCAAUGAUCUACAAGAAAAACAACACAAUGAAUGUAAGCAAAUCUUUGCUUAGCAAGUUUGUGUAAACUCAAACUUUAACUUUAACUUACCGUAAAAGUUGUAACUUAAACAUUUUGCAAUUAAAAUUUAUAAGCAAUGUCAUGAGUUCAUUAUUAACCUAUACAUAUCACAAGUCUCACAAGGUUAGUGAGUUCACAUAUACAAAACUUAUAACUUUAUCAUGUCAUAAAGCAUGUACUAGUAAACACAUUGGAUAUACCAUUCAUUCAACAUUUAUUCAUUUACCAAUUCACAUUUCCAUUUUAAGUGUUCAUUUCAAAUGUCCCUUCUUACAUACCUAUUCAUAUAAACAUUUCAUAUAACACUUCAUAUAAUUAUUUUCAUAUUGUCACUUCAUAUAGUUUUUUCGUUUAUAUGUUUCCGUAUAACUGAUUCAUAUAACCAUUUCGUAUAUCUAUUUCUAUAUAACCAAUUCUUAUAAUCAUUUCACAUAACCAAUUCGUAUAACCAAUUCAUAUAACCAUUUUGUAUAGCCAUUUCAAAGUGUUAACCUUAACACAACAUGAUUCAACAAUUCUAAGUCAGUAAACAACAAUAUAGGGAUAUUCAGAAUUCGUAUUUUUAUCCAUUUUAAUGAAACAAUUUAACAUUACAAGUCCGGGAAAUAGAUGAUGCUUGUAUGAGCUAAUCAGAUACAUAAAUAUAUGUGUUAGGUUACCCGUCCAGACUAAACCUUUAAAACAACCGGGCUAAACCUUUAAAACAACAAGAAUUACUAGUCCAGGCAAAAUUUAUGUCACAUGCAUAUCCGAGUCUGCAAAAAAUGUUAGAGCUUGGUCCAGAACGAGAAUCAUAUAGAAACCUUGUGUAUGAGACAUUUACUUAGUCCAUCAGAAUUAUCUUAGAAUUUGAUUUAUUAUCACGUAGUCUGAUUUCCAAUUUCAGCAGUUUAUACACAAUUAAUUAACAACAUUUAAUAUUCAAUUUUAAUUUGAAAAAUAAUAUGAACUUACCUAGACAAAAACGAUUGUGAAAACAAGGCUCACAAUUAAUCCAUUAAUUUAGCUUUUCCACGAUUCGAGUUUGAUUAUUUUGUUCCUUGAUCUAAAUAAUAUUUUUUCUUUCAAUUAAUUCAUUCAAACAAGGCUGACCCUUAAUCAUCAUUUUACACUUUUACAAUGAACUUUUACUUUUAAUUCAAUUUAGUCCCUAAACCCGAAACAUUCAAUUUAAUCAUAAAUUAAUCCAAAAAAGGCCAACCGAAUUUUGUAUAAUUCCCAUACAUCCCAUAUUCAUCAUAUUUUUACAAGAAUUUCAUAUAACUUUACUAUUUUAGCAAUUUAAUCCUUUAACAUAAAAAUUAAUCAAAAUCACUUUACAAUAUUGUUCUAUUUAAUUAUCAAGCUUAUAAAACUAUCAUAAAACUUCAAAAAAAUCACCAUUUCAUCAAUGGCAUAAUUUAAAACAUUUAAUAGUUUUACAAAUUAGCCCUUAAGUUAGCUAGAUUAAGCUAGAACAAUAUCAAAAACAUAAAAAUCACUAAAAACAUAAUUGAAAAAGCUUACCAUGCAUGAAUUAUGAACUUGGUUGAAUUUCAAGCAUUCAAAAAUGGGGUUUUAUGGCUUUAUUUCCUUCAAUUUCAGUCAAUAGAGAAAGAUGAUAGCAUUUUUACAUUUUAUUUUCUUAAACCAAAUAUUAAAUUACAAAAUUAGCCUUUUUUAACUAAAUAUUACAAUCAUGCAAUGGGCAAACUGUCUAUUAUUAAUAAUUAUGGCUAAAUUACCAUAUAAAGCCAUUCAAAUAUGUUUCUAUGCUCAAUUAACCCAUAAUAAUCAAUAGUGAUUAGCUUUUGCAACUUUCAUGAUUUAGUCCUUUUUUCUUUAAUUAACUAUCAAAUCACCAAAAUUUCCUAACCCAAUUUUAAUAUACCUAUAUUGUAACUUCGUAAAUAUUUAAUAAAAAUAUUUGCGGGCUCGGUUUAUAGAAACAAGGUCCUAGUACCUCAUUUUCCAAAACCACUUGAUUGUUGGGACAAUCACUUGUACUUAACUAUUCAUUCAAUUUGCAAAAAUUAUUAAACCAACAUUCAAUAUAGUAUCAUAAUUGAUUUGUAAAUAUUAAAUAAUAAUAUUAGGAACUCACUCAUCGGAUUUGUGAUCUUGAAACCAUUAUUUUCAAAGCCACAGAAAAACGGAUUGUUACAACCCAUCAUAGAAAUGUUGUAGUUGUAUUGCAAAGCUAACACCUCCUCCCAAUUUUGAUCGGAUAAUAAUUUUAAACCUUUCCCAUGCCUAUCCCAAUGUUUCAACAACAUCUUGCUUGAAUUUAAAUAACUUUUCAUAUGUGUUGUUUACAUGGGUCAUAGGCACAACUCAACGUAAGAAUAAUUGCAUAAAUUUAGCCCAGGUUGUAAUCAUAUCUUGAGGAAGUGCAUCUAACCAAGCUUUCGCUUGACCUUCUAAAGUAAAAGAUAUUAAUAACAAUUUGAUAACCUCUGCUAAAACACCAACAUACACAAUGGUGCUGCAAAUGUGCUCAAACUACCGGAGGAAAGCUAUGGGGUCCUCAUUUUGUUACUACCAAACCUGAUAUUUGAAGAAAUCCAUGUUAGCAACGGAUGGUUGAAUUCAAAAUAAGGACUUUGAAUAAUAGGUCGAGUAAUACUAAGGUUGUAACCAGUUCAUAUCAAAAGGAACUACCCCCUAGUGUCACGGGGCUAGACCUUUCGUCUCGCAAUCCUUACGGCCUUAGGCGAUUCGUUCGUCCAAACUCGCCCAAGUCAGCCUUAACUCAAGUGAGGAUUCUUUUAUAACUCCUCCAAGGCACCAAAUUAAAGAGCGGAAGUGAUUUUAUGCCAAAAAAAACAACAGAAAGUCACAGAAAAGAUUGCACACAAGGUGUUUGAGUAAAUGCUCUCUAUUUCUCUUAUUCACAAAGAAUAAUGAAACAAUGAAUGGAGUGAGUACAACUGAGGGGGAGGCUCUCUAUUUAUAAUUGAGCUCCCCUAAAAUCGACGGUCAAGAUACAUUUACAUCGAUGGAUGAGAUUUAACCAUAUCCCAUAAUUUUAGGAAUUUACAAGAUAAGCUUUAUCAAAUCUAAUCUAAUCUUUACAAGAUAUGACUCCCUCUAUCUUCUAAGAUUAGUUACCAUAUUAGCCUAAGUUGCCAUCUCUUCAUUAUCGGGCCAACUAGGCUUCAAUCUGACAGGCUUAUCCAAUAGCUCUUUGAAUCGGGCCAGUUCUCGUAGGCCAAAUGAUCCCCAUCUAAGCAAUAGACCUCCAUUGGAUGCAUUUGGUGCGAUGGUCACGGGCUUUGAACUACGGCCCGUGACAUUUUCCCCCACCCAUUCUCGCAACGUCCUCGUUGCGACUUUCGAAUGGCACUGACUUGAUUCUCCUCGGUCUCGUCUCGACGCCUUAGCCUUUCCCUUCCUUCGAGACUUUUGCUUCGGCUUACGUCGCUUCUUCACUCGAACCGUCCUACUCAUUUGUACAUCUCGAUGAUAAGAAGUUAUGUCACUCUCUUGUCCACAUUCUAACUUUGCUCGAACAGAAUCCUCUUGAUUCACCACACUUGGCUUGGCUUUGCCCACAGUCUCUCGGCCUCUUUGCUCAAGAACUUCGAAAGGGCCCCUACGUUCUUGCCAAGUCAACAAGUUAGAAUGCAAAACGCUAUCACAGUGUUCGAAAUGUACCUUCGCAUUUUCUCUGGUCAACUAUCCCACAUGCAUCACUUCCUUUUCCUUCAAGUCCGAUGCACCACCCACCUCUCCCAUA